This 468-nucleotide ribosomal RNA is filed under the name uncultured bacterium. RNAcentral's name for it is "partial 16S ribosomal RNA". It matches the Rfam family "Bacterial small subunit ribosomal RNA", at positions 28 to 507 of the family's 1533-position model. The record is from RNAcentral.
GACGAACGCUGGCGGCGUGCUUAACACAUGCAAGUCGAACGGAAAGGCCCUGCUUUUGUGGGGUGCUCGAGUGGCGAACGGGUGAGUAACACGUGAGUAACCUGCCCUUGACUUUGGGAUAACUUCAGGAAACUGGGGCUAAUACCGGAUAGGAGCUCCUGCUGCAUGGUGGGGGUUGGAAAGUUUCGGCGGGUGGGGAUGGACUCGCGGGUUAUCAGCUUGUUGGUGGGGUAGUGGCUUACCAAGGCUUUGACGGGUAGCCGGCCUGAGAGGGUGACCGGCCACAUUGGGACUGAGAUACGGCCCAGACUCCUACGGGAGGCAGCAGUGGGGAAUAUUGCACAAUGGGCGGAAGCCUGAUGCAGCAACGCCGCGUGCGGGAUGACGGCCUUCGGGUUGUAAACCGCUUUCGCCUGUGACGAAGCGUGAGUGACGGUAAUGGGUAAAGAAGCACCGGCUAACUACGUG